GGGAACGUUCCGGGACGUUCUCGCUACGUACUCUUUAUCAAUCGUCUUCCGGCGCAGCCCCGUCCCUGUUUUUUGUGCUCCUCCGAGCUCGCUGUUCGUCCGGGUUUUUUACGUUUUAAUUUCCAGAAACCAGGGUGGUUAUGACCGCUACUCAGGAGGAAAUUACAGAGACAAUUAUGACAACUGAAAUGAGACAUGCACAUAAUAUAGGUGAGACUUGGAUAUCGGCAUUGAGUGAACCUGUUUGUCACACUCUGUCAUGACCCUCUCACCUUUUCUGGCAAGACUGCUCUGCAUUUCUGCUGCCCUCAUACCUCACCCAGCCAACCUACCAAACAUUCCUAGCUAGGCCUUCCUUGCUCUCAGGUGCAUAUCAGAGCAAGUUUGCUAGGGGGUGGGAUCUGAAAACCCAUCUCCUAUAAUCUUCUACUCUUGUGUGGGAUGGAGGAAAUGAAGGUGUGUCCCUGUUGUCCAACCCUCAGCAUCUUCAUCAGCUCUAGGAGGUGAGCAUGUUGUCAGCUGUUACUUCAUGACAUCACAAUUCUCCCCCUCUUGCUGUUCCCAGAUACACAAGGAAUAAUUUCUGAUCCAGGAUCGUCCUUCCAAAUGGCUGUAUUUAUAAAGGUUUUUGGAGCUGCACCGAAGCAUCUUAUUUUAUAGUAUAUCAACCUUUUGUUUUUAAAUUGACCUGCCAAGGUAGCUGAAGACCUUUUAGACAGUUCCAUCUUUUUUUUUAAAUUUUUUCUGCCUAUUUAAAGACAAAUUAUGGGACGUUUGUAGAACCUGAGUAUUUUUCUUUUUACCAGUUUUUUAGUUUGAGCUCUUAGGUUUAUUGGAGCUAGCAAUAAUUGGUUCUGGCAAGUUUGGCCAGACUGACUUCAAAAAAUUAAUGUGUAUCCAGGGACAUUUUAAAAACCUGUACACAGUGUUUAUUGUGGUUAGGAAGCAAUUUCCCAAUGUACCUAUAAGAAAUGUGCAUCAAGCCAGCCUGACCAACAUGGUGAAACCCCAUCUGUACUAAACAUAAAAAAAUUAGCCUGGCAUGGUGGUGUACGCCUGUAAUCCCAGUGACUUGGGAGGCUGAGGCAGGAGAAUCGCUUGAACCCGGGAGGCGGAGGUUGCAGUGAGCUAAGAUCGCGCCACUGUACUCCAGCCUGGGCAACAGCGAGACUCCAUCUCAAAAAAAAAGGAAAUGUGUAUCAAGAACAUGAUUAUCCAGCGGUAUUUUCUAAUUCAGAUCAUCAAACUGAUUAUAUAGAAGAGUUGGCUUUAAAAUGUUUGCAAAUGUCUUUUUUUUUUUAAUACUGGAAGAAAAAAUAUUCUGUUGUGUCUCAUACAGUGCUUAGGAUGUCUUUCACAGAGCUUAUUAAAAAGAUGAAACCUGAGAACAAACUGCUUUAUUCUUACUCAGCCCAUUUUGCAAAUUAAAAGUGGGGGCAGAGGUGGGCGGAUCACCUGAGGUCAGGAGUUCGAGACCAGCCUGGCCAACAGGGCAAAACCCCAUCUCUACUAAAAAU
Molecule: long non-coding RNA, 1517 nt
Filed under: Homo sapiens (human)
Lineage: Eukaryota; Metazoa; Chordata; Mammalia; Primates; Hominidae
Description: long non-coding RNA NONHSAT136940.2
Source: RNAcentral